UUCCGGAAGAGCAGCGCGAAAACGAAAUCAUGGACGUGUGGGGGAUCUACGUUCAUGAAUGGAAUUGAGACUUUUGAUAUCAACAAUAUAGUUACCGAUGGUGACUGCUUGUUACAUAUGCAAGAGUGUGGUAGUGCUGUUACUGUACCAAAUCGGCAGUGACAGUCAAGACAAAUUUAUAAAUCAUCAGUGAUGUUUGCCAGUCUUUGGCAAGCGACAUGUGCUUGACACCAGAUGAGAGAACUUUCUUUAAUCAAGUUUACAAUGAUGAAAUUCUUGAAAAUGUCCAGUUUCUGGAUGACUGCCUUGUGCCAGGCAAGAUGCUUGUUCGCACUUCAAGGGAAAAGGCAUGGAGUUUAUAUCAUGCUGCCUACAUAAAGAACAUGAAAAUCUGUAUUGACUGCUGCAUGGCUUUGCAGGAAAGCGUUGGAAAAGUUAGUUGCUCUAUUUUCCAGUGAACGCAGAGCUAACUCAGGCAUGCCAGCCAUCAGCAUUCAAUGAUAAAGGGAAAUAUACCAUAUCUCAUAUAGGAGGAAGCAUUGUAAAGAAAGUAAAAAGAUUGUGCAAAGGGAGGUAACAAUGUUUGGGUGCCCUAUGCACCAGACAUGGUACAAGCAUGCUGACAGCCUCUAGGUAAGGGCUAAUUUAUUUAAAUGAAAUGAAAAGGCUGAGGAAUUGUUUUAGUCUCUAGAAUAUAGGUUUUUACAAACAUGCAGAAGUACUCACUAAAGUUGAAGAAGUGUAGAUUUUGCAAUAGCCUGUGCUGAUGAUGAAGAGCUGUUACAUAAUUUUUACACUAUUAUUUACAAAUCUGAUAUUAGUGAGACUGCUAAACAAAGUGUGUUUUGUAUGGUUGCUCAUCUGUAUUUUCAAAUAAGAACUGUUGUCCUGCUCUAGGUAUACUGUGACCUUUCAAUGAACGGGCGUUUUCUGAUCACUGCUCUCUCUUUCUCUGGGAGAUUUCCUGUAGCGACAAUUGUCGGUGCGCUGUCCCUCGUGACAUAAGCGGUCCGUGGUUCACAGGCCUACUGAUUCCAGGGGAGAUAAAAGGUAUGUUGCUGAUGUAACACCAUCUCCACCGCUAACUCAUCCCCACAGUUACCUAUUCCACCUUACGAUAGCCCGCUUACUAUAGGGCGUCCUCUCAACACGUGAAGGGAGAAGUGCGGCACCAACGCGAUAGCCCUAUUCUUAGCUAUCAUAGGACAAUCUAAUUAUGUUUUAAAUGAAUUUCUUAAAGCCUCUUUACAAUAAAUACAUGAACCUUGUUCAGCUUUGUUUUACAGUGUUUUGUAACACUAAUAAGCCUGGUUAAUUGGAAUGAUAUGUCCAUUGUAUAAGGUAGAGAUGAUAAUUUGAAUGUUGUUAUCUACAGAGGGAUAUAACUGUAUUUUUGUGUAUUUUGUGCAUCAUUCAAAUGUACAUUUCACUAUUUUUUUAUAGUAAAUCUAAAAAUCUAUUUAGUUUUAGUUUAAUUAUUCCUCGCAACUCCCCAUGGAGCACACGGGGCCACAACACCUCUCCUUUAAUCAUUUGAAAUUGAAGUAUUUAAAAGUCUGCUCAUUUAAGAAAAUUCCUUUGCAUUGACUGAUCACUAUUUAAUGAAUUCCUAUACUUUUUUCUCUUUUUUUGAGUAUCAUUGAGUCAUUUGUAUCAAUACUGGUCACCAUUUGUUGUACAUGUAAGAUUAAUUGUUAGUGUAAGAUGUAAAUGUUUCCUGAGUUUAUACUCAAUGACAUUAAAUAUGUUUUA
This is a long non-coding RNA of Pomacea canaliculata, 1752 nucleotides long. RefSeq lists it as uncharacterized. The transcript has 4 exons. The record is from RefSeq and is a predicted model, not a curated record. NCBI's taxonomy places the organism in Eukaryota, Metazoa, Mollusca, Gastropoda, Architaenioglossa, Ampullariidae.